RNAcentral lists this long non-coding RNA (372 nucleotides) under Daucus carota (carrot). Its description in RNAcentral is "long non-coding RNA (DCAR_LNC002284)". The record is from RNAcentral. Lineage: Eukaryota; Viridiplantae; Streptophyta; Magnoliopsida; Apiales; Apiaceae.
AUAGCUAGAACCUUUGAUACAACAACAGUUUAAAAUGCUAACACAAACUCACACGUGAAUUGUUCUAUAUUAAAAGAAAAACAUCAUUAUCAAUCACAUAAGUAUCCUUUCAAAAAAAAAAAAAAUCACAUAAGUAGAACUUACAGCACAAUUCCAGAUCACAAUUUACUAUGUAGAGCAAAGAAACCAAAAAUAGCAGCUCGACACCAACUACAACACUUACUACUCUAUUUAUAUCGCUGUUCAUAGUGUUACCAUACAUACAUAUAUCCACCUAAUCACCUACAAAUCUCAGCACAUUGAAAAUAAUAUAUUCAAAAUUUAGAAAAUCUAGUAUUCACGAAAUCCAAGUCCAACAAUCAUCCACCAACG